Molecule: ribosomal RNA, 496 nt
Filed under: uncultured bacterium
Lineage: Bacteria
Description: partial 16S ribosomal RNA
Rfam family: Bacterial small subunit ribosomal RNA
Source: RNAcentral
AUGAACGCUGGCGGCGUGCCUAAUACCUGCAAGUCGCGCGAACGGACGAGAAGCUUGCUUCUCUGAUGUUAGCGGCGGACGGGUGAGUAACACGUGGAUAACCUACCUAUAAGACUGGGAUAACUUCGGGAAACCGGAGCUAAUACCGGAUGAUAUUUUGAACCGCAUGGUUCCAAAGUGAAAGACGGUCUUGCUGUCACUUAUAGAUGGAUCCGCGCUGCAUUAGCUAGUUGGUAAGGUAACGGCUUACCAAGGCAACGAUGCAUAGCCGACCUGAGAGGGUGAUCGGCCACACUGGAGCUGAGACACGGUCCAGACUCCUACGGGAGGCAGCAGUAGGGAAUCUUCCGCAAUGGGCGAAAGCCUGACGGAGCAACGCCGCGUGAGUGAUGAAGGUCUUCGGAUCGUAAAACUCUGUUAUUAGGGAAGAACAUAUGUGUAAGUAACUGUGCACAUCUUGACGGUACCUAAUCAGAAAGCCACGGCUAACUACGUG